This is a small nuclear RNA of Vombatus ursinus (common wombat), 103 nucleotides long. NCBI's taxonomy places the organism in Eukaryota, Metazoa, Chordata, Mammalia, Diprotodontia, Vombatidae. The record is from Ensembl.
UUGCUUUGGCAGCACAUAUACUCAAAUCGGAACGAUACAGAAAAGAUUAACAUGGCCCCUGGGCAAGGAUGACAUGAAAAUCUGUGAAGUAUUCCAUAUUAAA